Molecule: non-coding RNA, 556 nt
Organism: Lactuca sativa (garden lettuce)
Lineage: Eukaryota; Viridiplantae; Streptophyta; Magnoliopsida; Asterales; Asteraceae
Source: RefSeq, a predicted model, not a curated record
UACAUGUCAACCAUCUAAAGAUAUAGGUGUGGCAUUUUAGACAUUUUUAUCUACGCCUGGUCUAUGAGCCUGUUCGCAUCCCUUUAGCUUUUUGGAAUCUUGAAACAUAAGUUCUCAACAAAUUAAAAAAAAAAGUAUUUGAGGCAUGAAGAUGUAAUAGAGAUGAGUUUAUGGAAACCCCCCCACCCCAAUGUCUUGUUUUUGUGUUUUUGUCAAUUGUAAUGAUUGAAUAGGGAUAUGAUGUUGUAGUGUGCGAUUUUUACCAGUUGCCUCUUGAAUAGAAAACAUUUGCUUGAUCUUGCAAUGCCUGAACAAAAUUUCUUGAGUUUACGGAAGCAAUAUACAAACAUGAGUUAUGCAGAGGAAUUUGUACCAUAGUGGAGAGAGAUCAUUAGCUGAAACUCCUUUGAAACAUCAAGAAAGUGGCAUUAUAUACAAAACAUCCGAUUCAAGCUAUAUCAAGAGAUACAAUGACGAAAAAGUUCCAACCGAAAUAUGUCAAUGAUAUUAACUACGGCUUAUCACCACUAAAGGUAAUUAUGGCAAAUCUUGAUAC